This 363-nucleotide transfer-messenger RNA is filed under the name Thorsellia anophelis. RNAcentral describes it as "Standard tmRNA". It matches the Rfam family "transfer-messenger RNA". Rfam says of the family: Bacterial tmRNA, also known as 10Sa RNA or SsrA, is named for its dual tRNA and mRNA-like properties. Its role is to liberate the mRNA from a stalled ribosome. To accomplish this part of the tmRNA is used as a reading frame that ends in a translation stop signal. RNAcentral also lists the same sequence under 1 other name. Lineage: Bacteria; Pseudomonadati; Pseudomonadota; Gammaproteobacteria; Enterobacterales; Thorselliaceae. The record is from RNAcentral.
GGGGCAGAUUUUGGAUUCGACAGGAUUCGCGAAACCCAAGGUGCAUGCCGAGGGGCGGUUGGCCUCGUAAAAAGCCGCAAAAAAAUAGUCGCAAACGACGAAAACUACGCUUUAGCAGCUUAAUAACCUGCGUAAAGCCUUCUCUCCCUAGCCUCCGCUCUUAGGACGGGGAUAAAGAGGAGUCAUCCUAAAAGAGAUCGCGUGGAUGCUUUGCUUGGAGCUGAAACGUUAAACUUAAUCAAGCUAGUCUGUUAAUGGCGUGUCUAUCCGCAGUUAGCAGGCGAAUUUAAAGAUUAGACUAAGCAUGUAGUACCGACGGUGUAGGAGUUCUGGACGGGGGUUCAAAUCCCCCCUGCUCCACCA